CUAUUAGAUGAGGCUACGUUAGAUUAGCUAGUUGGUGAGGUAAUGGCUUACCAAGGCUAUGAUCUAUAGCUGGUCUGAGAGGACAUCAGCCACACUGGAACUGAGAUACGGUCCAGACUCCUACGGGAGGCAGCAGUGGGGAAUAUUGGACAAUGGGCGAAAGCCUGAUCCAGCUAUGCCGCGUGGAGUGAAGAAGGCUC
Molecule: ribosomal RNA, 200 nt
Filed under: Ehrlichia canis
Lineage: Bacteria; Pseudomonadati; Pseudomonadota; Alphaproteobacteria; Rickettsiales; Anaplasmataceae
Description: partial 16S ribosomal RNA
Rfam family: Bacterial small subunit ribosomal RNA
Source: RNAcentral